AUUGACUGAAGGAGACACCAUCUAUGCAGCUGUGGUGAUGCCAUCAUCCAUGCUACAUGUAGACUUUCCUGCAGAGGAGCUUUGGUGAACCUACGCUCCUGUAACCAAGCAACCUGUCACCUAUGCUCUUUCUUCAGCUUUCAUCAAGAAGCCUCUUAGUCAAGAGCCAGUCAGCUGACAGGAAAUAUCAUCAGGUAUCUGAAGAGAGAGGGGACAAGACAUAUUGACAAGAAUGAAGCUAUUAACCAGGACGGAAAAAAAAAAGUCAGCCCCACUCAAAGAUGUAGAAAGAGAAAAUGGAAUCCACCGUCUUCAGUAUCUCUGCCUGCUCCAGUUCACCACAGCGUUCCUAUUUACAUUCAAACCCCACACAUCUUACCAAAGGAGAAGAUAAAGCUGAUGGAAGCCAUCAUGGACCAUCCUACCAGCAUCAAAAUAUAUCUACAGCAGUGGAUGCAUAGAGACACUGCACUUACAAACAACAGCAGAUACUCCCAAAUCUCAGGAUCAAACAGAACAGUGUGUGCCGGUGUGGGGUUGUGGGGUAAUGUCGUGAACCGGAGAAGAGACGGGGAGACUAGGUAGCGUCUGCUGAGCGCCAGGCAGGGACUGUGAAAGCAGUCCAUUCCAGGGUAGAAGGAAGCAGGGAGAGGUGGAGAGGCCUGAGCAGCCAGCCUCCUACACAGCAGCGGGGGGUUGAUAAGCUGAUUCCCCACGGGUCCUGCACAGGGCCUCAUGGGAAGGAACCUUCUGGGUCCCCGGAACCCGCAAUACUUAGGACGGUCUUAAGUGCCUCUUGGAAGCUCAGCGGCUUGUUAACUUGUCACACGUAAAGGCAGGAGAGAGGCCUGACAUUUUUCUGACGCCUGGAAGCGAAAGAAGAAAAGCUUCUGACACUCAGGGCCACAUCCUGAACGACAGGGGUCAGUGUGUGCAACCGAUCCGUGUGGGCGCAGGCUUCUAAUUAUUUCCUGGAUAACCUGUUAUCUAUUAUCCAUCAGGCUCCUUGCCAGAAUAUGCAGACGUCUCCUGAGACCUUCGAGUUCCUGCUCUUAAAGGGGACGCAGA
Molecule: non-coding RNA, 1068 nt
Organism: Peromyscus maniculatus bairdii (prairie deer mouse)
Lineage: Eukaryota; Metazoa; Chordata; Mammalia; Rodentia; Cricetidae
Source: RefSeq, a predicted model, not a curated record